This 492-nucleotide ribosomal RNA is filed under the name uncultured bacterium. Its description in RNAcentral is "partial 16S ribosomal RNA". It matches the Rfam family "Bacterial small subunit ribosomal RNA", at positions 29 to 507 of the family's 1533-position model. The record is from RNAcentral.
AGUGAACGCUGGCGGUAGGCCUAACACAUGCAAGUCGAACGGCAGCACAGUAAGGGCUUGCUCUUACGGGUGGCGAGUGGCGGACGGGUGAGGAAUACAUCGGAAUCUACUUUUUCGUGGGGGAUAACGUAGGGAAACUUACGCUAAUACCGCAUACGACCUACGGGUGAAAGCAGGGGAUCUUCGGACCUUGCGCGAUUGAAUGAGCCGAUGUCGGAUUAGCUAGUUGGCGGGGUAAAGGCCCACCAAGGCGACGAUCCGUAGCUGGUCUGAGAGGAUGAUCAGCCACACUGGAACUGAGACACGGUCCAGACUCCUACGGGAGGCAGCAGUGGGGAAUAUUGGACAAAGGGCGCAAGCCUGAUCCGGCCAUACCGCGUGGGUGAAGAAGGCCUUCGGGUUGUAAAGCCCUUUUGUUGGGAAAGAAAAGCAGCAGGUUAAUACCCCGCUGUUCUGACGGUACCCAAAGAAUAAGCACCGGCUAACUUCGUG